AGCGAACGCUGGCGGCAGGCUUAACACAUGCAAGUCGAGCGGGCACUUUCGGGUGUCAGCGGCGGACGGGUGCGUAACGCGUGGGAACGUGCCCUCUGGUUCGGAAUAACUCAGGGAAACUUGAGCUAAUACCGGAUACGCCCUUUUGGGGAAAGGCUUGCUGCCGGAGGAUCGGCCCGCGUCUGAUUUGCUAGUUGGUGAGGUAACGGCUCACCAAGGCGACGAUCAGUAGCUGGUCUGAGAGGAUGAUCAGCCACACUGGGACUGAGACACGGCCCAGACUCCUACGGGAGGCAGCAGUGGGGAAUAUUGGACAAUGGGCGCAAGCCUGAUCCAGCCAUGCCGCGUGAGUGAUGAAGGCCUUAGGGUUGUAAAGCUCUUUUAUCCGGGACGAUAAUGACGGUACCGGAGGAAUAAGCCCCGGCUAACUUCGUG
Molecule: ribosomal RNA, 435 nt
Filed under: uncultured bacterium
Lineage: Bacteria
Description: partial 16S ribosomal RNA
Rfam family: Bacterial small subunit ribosomal RNA
Source: RNAcentral